This 468-nucleotide ribosomal RNA is filed under the name uncultured bacterium. RNAcentral describes it as "partial 16S ribosomal RNA". It matches the Rfam family "Bacterial small subunit ribosomal RNA", at positions 28 to 507 of the family's 1533-position model. The record is from RNAcentral.
GACGAACGCUGGCGGCGUGCUUAACACAUGCAAGUCGAACGGAAAGGCCCUGCUUUUGUGGGGUUCUCGAGUGGCGAACGGGUGAGUAACACGUGAGUAACCUGCCCUUGACUUUGGGAUAACUUCAGGAAACUGGGGCUAAUACCGGAUAGGAGCUCCUGCUGCAUGGUGGGGGUUGGAAAGUUUCGGCGGUUGGGGAUGGACUCGCGGCUUAUCAGCUUGUUGGUGGGGUAGUGGCUUACCAAGGCUUUGACGGGUAGCCGGCCUGAGAGGGUGACCGGCCACAUUGGGACUGAGAUACGGCCCAGACUCCUACGGGAGGCAGCAGUGGGGAAUAUUGCACAAUGGGCGGAAGCCUGAUGAAGCAACGCCGCGUGCGGGAUGACGGCCUUCGGGUUGUAAACCGCUUUCGCCUGUGACGAAGCGUGAGUGACGGUAAUGGGUAAAGAAGCACCGGCUAACUACGUG